GGGGCUAUAGCUCAUUUGGUAGAGCACUUACAUAGUGUACAUGAGGCCCUGGGUUUGAUCCCCAGUACCACCA
Molecule: transfer RNA, 73 nt
Filed under: Marmota monax (woodchuck)
Lineage: Eukaryota; Metazoa; Chordata; Mammalia; Rodentia; Sciuridae
Description: tRNA.Thr
Rfam family: tRNA
About the family: Transfer RNA (tRNA) molecules are approximately 80 nucleotides in length. Their secondary structure includes four short double-helical elements and three loops (D, anti-codon, and T loops). Further hydrogen bonds mediate the characteristic L-shaped molecular structure. tRNAs have two regions of fundamental functional importance: the anti-codon, which is responsible for specific mRNA codon recognition, and the 3' end, to which the tRNAs corresponding amino acid is attached (by aminoacyl-tRNA synthetases). tRNAs cope with the degeneracy of the genetic code in two manners: having more than one tRNA (with a specific anti-codon) for a particular amino acid; and 'wobble' base-pairing, i.e. permitting non-standard base-pairing at the 3rd anti-codon position.
Source: RNAcentral